Molecule: ribosomal RNA, 553 nt
Filed under: uncultured crenarchaeote
Lineage: Archaea; Thermoproteati; Thermoproteota
Description: bacterial SSU rRNA
Rfam family: Archaeal small subunit ribosomal RNA
Source: RNAcentral
AUGGGGUGCAGCAGGCGCGAAACCUCUGCAAUAGGCGAAAGCUUGACAGGGUUACUCUGAGUGAUGUCCGUUAAGGGCAUCUUUUGGCACCUCUAAAAAUGGUGCAGAAUAAGGGGUGGGCAAGUCUGGUGUCAGCCGCCGCGGUAAUACCAGCACCCCGAGUGGUCGGGACGAUUAUUGGGCCUAAAGCAUCCGUAGCCGGUUCUGCAAGUCUUCCGUUAAAUCCACCUGCUCAACAGAUGGGCUGCGGGGGAUACUACAGGGCUGGGAGGCGGGAGAGGCAAGCGGUACUCAGUGGGUAGGGGUAAAAUCCUCUGAUCCACUGAAGACCACCAGUGGCGAAGGCGGCUUGCCAGAACGCGCUCGACGGUGAGGGAUGAAAGCUGGGGGAGCAAACCGGAUUAGAUACCCGGGUAGUCCCAGCUGUAAACGAUGCAGACUCGGUGAUGGGUUGGCUUCGAGCCAACCCAGUGCCGCAGGGAAGCCGUUAAGUCUGCCGCCUGGGGAGUACGGUCGCAAGACUGAAACUUAAAGGAAUUGGCGGGGGAGCACA